Molecule: transfer RNA, 87 nt
Filed under: Collinsella sp. An271
Lineage: Bacteria; Bacillati; Actinomycetota; Coriobacteriia; Coriobacteriales; Coriobacteriaceae
Description: tRNA-Leu
Rfam family: tRNA
About the family: Transfer RNA (tRNA) molecules are approximately 80 nucleotides in length.
Source: RNAcentral
GCCCGAGUGGCGGAAUUGGCAGACGCAGUGGACUCAAAAUCCACCGAUGGCGACAUCGUGCGAGUUCGAGUCUCGCCUCGGGCACCC